AGGGGUAGCAGGGGCACGUCAAGCACGUGCGAUCGCGAUGUCGGGCAAAAGAGGUAGUACGAAAGGCUUUAAAAAGCCGUUGGCUUCAAGGACAAAAACUAACCGAAUUCGCAAAGGUCAGAGCAGUAGCGCCAACCCGAAUCAACGAAAAUUUCGUGAUGAAGCGAAGAGCAAGGUGUUCGGAUUUGGAGCGUUCCCUUCCAAAGGUGGCGGAACACUGACAGUGGAGCAACUUCAGCAGCACAAUGGUUGUGCACAUGACGAAGCUUCUUUGGUUGGGGAAGCUGAUGCACAGGAUCGACUCAGCAUUGCUGAAACUGAAAGCAAUCACACUGCAGAAUCAGACUGGACACUUGGCUC
RNAcentral lists this long non-coding RNA (360 nucleotides) under Dermacentor andersoni. RNAcentral describes it as "uncharacterized LOC126543944". Lineage: Eukaryota; Metazoa; Arthropoda; Arachnida; Ixodida; Ixodidae. The record is from RNAcentral.